Molecule: long non-coding RNA, 3174 nt
Filed under: Triticum aestivum (bread wheat)
Lineage: Eukaryota; Viridiplantae; Streptophyta; Magnoliopsida; Poales; Poaceae
Description: long non-coding RNA (TAES_LNC005312)
Source: RNAcentral
GGUGAGACUGAGAGCCUCGCGAUUUACCCCCCAGCGUGCUUGUCCGUCUGUCACGGCGGUGUGAUUGUCGGGUGUUUGCAUUUCGACCUUUUACUGAUCUUGCACGCGUGUUGGUCUCGGUGGUGCUCUUGUUGGCGUUGCUAGUGGUGGCGCAGACGGAGCCUACGAACACGGCGGAGAGCCAAGCACCUGAGGACCCGCAGACUUCCCGGUUCACCUGGACGAUAGAGAACUUCACCAGGGUCAGCGGGAAGAAGCACUACUCGGAUGUGUUUGUCGUUGGGGGAUUUAAAUGGUGAGUUUUGGACAACUUGCCAUUUUGAUUCGCCGUGAAAAUGCGUCUAAUGUGGGAGAUGUUGGACGUUGAAGGUACUGAUGGAUGUGCUUGUUUUGGACGUAGGCGUGUGCUAAUUUUCCCCAAGGGAAAUAAUGUGGACCAUCUCUCGAUGUACUUGGAUGUUGCAGACUCGGGGAACCUCCCUUACGGAUGGAGCCGGUAUGCUCAGUUCAGCCUAGCCAUUGUAAACCAGAUCCAUCAGAAGUAUACAGCACGCAAAGGUAUUGCUUUUCUUGGAUUAAUGCUGUAAUCAUAUUUUUUAAGCCAUCCGUCAUGGAAGUUUCAAGGGAAUAUAACCUUGAAGUCUUGAGCUGACGUGGAACAGGAUGAACCCAUUGAUCAGUUAAAAUUCUGUGCAUGUACUGCCGCAUGUUAUCUGUUUGGCUGUGCAACUGAAGCUGUGCACAGUACAUGCCUAGGUUAUCAUGCAAUAAUGAUGCUCGAUAACACACAACCGCCUUUUUUCUUUCUUUUGGUGAGAUGGAGUACAUUCUUGUAGAUCAAGAUAUACAAUAUUCAUAACUGAUGUAUCACAUGCAAAGCAGACAUCUUUCUUGUAAAGUUUGAUAUAAACCUUGUCUAGUCUUUACUUCAAUACUUCAAUGUCUAAGGAUCAUUCAACUUUUAUACCUGGGAGCUGGAUGUUUCUCAGCUGUGCAUCUCUUUUUUGUGGGUUCUUGGUCAGUGGUCAACAUUGUUAAAGUAAUUCAAUUAUUGUGUGGACUCUAGUUUGACAUUGUAUUUCUAUGGUACUGGUGGCGCUGAAAUUGUUAUAUAUAUAUAUAUAUAUAUAUAUAUAUAUAUAUAUAUAUAUGUAUAUAUGUAUGUAUGUAUGUAUAUAUACAGGUAACAGUUUGGGAGUUAAUUUCAUGAAACUUCUUUUAGGUUAUCCGUAAAUCACAAAUCACAACAUCUGCAGUUGAUCGUUUUCUUUCUUUCGAGAAACUUACUGCGAUACUUAUUAUGGAUCGGAGGGAGUAGUUGAUAAUUUUUAUAAUGCACACCAGAUUAUGUUCUAUCACGAGGAAAAAAUCCUUAUAUUUCCACUCAUAUUGUUUUAGUACUUCUCGGUCAGUUAUUGUUGCUUGAAGCCUGAACCUUCAAUUAUUUUUUAUCAUGCAUUUAGUAAUGGUAUAAUGAUUAUUAGUUUUGUUCCAUGUCAUCCACUCGGUUGUGCCCUCAUGCUUUCAAAGACUCUUUUGGCUUGUUAUUUUAUGUGGUAGCUAAUGAAGUUCGGUAGUAGCGGUGCUUCGGUGAUAUUGUGAGUUUUUAAAUAUUUCUGCAAAAUUUCUCUGGUUAAGGCUGUAUGUUGGUCCCAUGUUUGGCAGAUACUCAACAUCAGUUUAAUGCACGUGAGAGUGACUGGGGUUUCACAUCUUUUAUGCCUCUGAGUGAGUUGUAUGACCCAAGUAGGGGCUAUCUCGUGAAUGAUACUGUUGUUGUUGAAGCUGAGGUUGCUGUUCGCAAAAUGGUUGACUAUUGGACUUAUGACUCGAAAAAGGAAACAGGUUAUGUUGGUCUCAAGAAUCAGGGUGCUACCUGUUAUAUGAACUCUCUUCUGCAAACCCUGUAUCAUAUACCUUACUUUCGGAAGGUGUGAGACCUUGCUUUGUCGUACCGCACAUGCUUUGUUGUGAGUUUGAAUUUUGAACUAAUUUUGAAUCAAUUCAUUGGUUUUCUUCUUAGGCUGUGUAUCACAUGCCAACUACUGAGAAUGACAUGCCAUCUGGGAGUAUUCCUUUAGCCCUGCAGAGCCUUUUUUACAAGCUCCAGUAUAGCGACAAUAGUGUAGCUACAAAAGAGUUGACUAAAUCUUUCGGGUGGGACACCUAUGAUUCUUUCAUGCAGCAUGAUGUGCAAGAGCUCAAUAGAGUUCUAUGCGAGAAACUUGAAGACAAAAUGAAGGUGGAUGUUAUACUAACAAUUACCUCUAUGCCAAUUACUUGUCAUUAACUUUGCUUUCUCCCCAGGGAACUGUUGUGGAAGGAACAAUUGAACAACUAUUUGAAGGCCACCACAUUAAUUACAUCGAGUGCAUUAAUGUUGACUAUAAAUCUAACAGAAAAGAGUCCUUUUAUGGUAGGACCUAUAAUUUGAAUUGUGUUUGCAUUUUAUGUGCUAUAUCCAUCUAUUAUUUAAUGGUCACUUAUGCUGGCCUUGCAGAUCUACAACUUGAUGUCAAAGGUUGUCAUGAUGUUUAUGCAUCAUUUGAUAAAUAUGUCGAAGUGGAGCGUCUAGAGGGUGAUAACAAAUACCAGGCUGAACAACAUGGCUUACAGGUUCCUACAAAUCAUGGCUUUGAACCUGAAUCUUAAGUUGCAUUAUCUUUGUUGUUAAAUAUUUUGGAAUAUUGGUGUGGUACAUUGUACAUAUGAAUGGCAGGGUACCUUUGCUUGCUCUAUUAAUGGUUACUUUCUAAUGUUUCUAAUGUUGCCUUGUGAUCAUGAGGUCACGGGUUUGAGUCCUGGAAACACCCUCUUUCAGAAAUGUAGGGAAAGGCUGUGUACAAAAGACCAAAGUGGUCGAACCCUUCCCCGGACCCUGCGCAAGCGGGAGCUACGUGCACCGGGCUGCCCUGUUUUUUUGCUUGCAUUAGUCAAUACACAGAAAUGGUUUACUUGAUAGUAAUUUUGGAUAAAAGAGGUGUUAGUGUUGUAGCUGACGUUGUCUACGGAGGUUGUAGAGUGGGAUACUCGGAGGACGCGCGUGCCGUCACCGUGUAGGCGCCGUGGUACAGUAGAAGGGUAGUGGGGAAAGAUUGGAGAAUUAGAGGGGUAGAAGAGAAGCAUAGGCAGGAACUAGAUAUUUCAUUUCUUGCCUUCUUACAAGGGGGAAAC